Molecule: long non-coding RNA, 446 nt
Organism: Terrapene triunguis (Three-toed box turtle)
Lineage: Eukaryota; Metazoa; Chordata; Testudines; Emydidae
Exons: 3
Source: RefSeq, a predicted model, not a curated record
CUUCUAUGAACUGCACGUUUCCAGGCUGGUCUCUUACUGCCACAGAAUUGUCCCUUCUUGGCUCCUUUCUACGCAGCCUAGUUCAAGGCUCCUGAAGGGAAGAGGGACAGAUAGUACUGCACAGGCCUGAGUGGAUAAGUGGCUAGCACAGGCAGGAUGCUGGAUCCAGAUCCUGGUCUAAGAGUGGAAGAAGUGCAAAGUCUCACUCCCAAGACAGCUGGAAAUUAGAAGUGGAAGAGACGUUCAUGAUCAUCUCCUCUGUCAACCAUGCACUGGCGGGAAGAUGUCAGAUGAAUAAGAUCUCACGUGCUCUGUGCAGCAGUUUUAGACGACACAAGCAACGCACUACUUCCUUUGGGAGACCAUCCCACCAUCUUACAGAAUGCAUGCCUUUGACCGGAUAUUUAACCUGCAUUUUCCUUUGUUCAGCUUCAUCCUGUUACUCC